Molecule: unclassified non-coding RNA, 304 nt
Filed under: plant metagenome
Description: partial contains 5.8S ribosomal RNA, internal transcribed spacer 2, and large subunit ribosomal RNA
Rfam family: 5.8S ribosomal RNA (bases 1-106)
Source: RNAcentral
CGAAAUGCGAUAAGUAGUGUGAAUUGCAGAAUUCAGUGAAUCAUCGAAUCUUUGAACGCACAUUGCGCCCUUUGGUAUUCCUUAGGGCAUGCCUGUUCGAGCGUCAUUUAAACCUUCAAGCUCAGCUUGGUGAUGGGUGACUGUCCUCCCCUCGCGGGGGGGACUCGCCUCAAAAACAUUGGCGGCCGGUACAUUGGCUUCGAGCGCAGCAGAAACGCGGUCUCGAGUCCGGUGGAUCGGCUCCCAUAAGCCUUCUUUUUUAUUUUGACCUCGGAUCAGGUAGGGAUACCCGCUGAACUUAAGC